ACCAGCAGCAUACCACCCUGCAUCCCACUGCUGGCUUGUCUCUGAAGCUAAACAGGGUUGGUCCUGGGUGGGAGACCAGAUGCUGCUGGAA
Molecule: ribosomal RNA, 91 nt
Organism: Hucho hucho (huchen)
Lineage: Eukaryota; Metazoa; Chordata; Actinopteri; Salmoniformes; Salmonidae
Source: Ensembl